UCUACGGGAGGCAGCAGUGAGGAAUAUUGGUCAAUGGGCGCUAGCCUGAACCAGCCAAGUAGCGUGAAGGAUGACUGCCCUAUGGGUUGUAAACUUCUUUUAUAUGGGAAUAAAGUGCAGUAUGUAUACUUCUUUGCAUGUACCUUAUGAAUAAGGAUCGGCUAACUCCGUGCCAGCAGCCGCGGUAAUACGGAGGAUCCGAGCGUUAUCCGGAUUUAUUGGGUUUAAAGGGAGCGUAGACGGGUUGUUAAGUCAGUUGUGAAAGUUUGCGGCGCAACCGUAAAAUUGCAGUUGAUACUGGCAGCCUUGAGUACAGUAGAGGUAGGCGGAAUUCGUGGUGUAGCGGUGAAAUGCUUAGAUAUCACGAAGAACUCCGAUUGCGAAGGCAGCCUGCUGAACUGUCACUGACGCUGAUGCUCGAAAGUGUGGGUAUCAAACAGGAUUAGAUACCCGUGUAGUC
This 460-nucleotide ribosomal RNA is filed under the name uncultured bacterium. Its description in RNAcentral is "partial 16S ribosomal RNA". It matches the Rfam family "Bacterial small subunit ribosomal RNA", at positions 338 to 795 of the family's 1533-position model. The record is from RNAcentral.